Molecule: ribosomal RNA, 406 nt
Filed under: uncultured bacterium
Lineage: Bacteria
Description: partial 16S ribosomal RNA
Rfam family: Bacterial small subunit ribosomal RNA
Source: RNAcentral
AUUGAACGCUGGCGGCAGGCCUAACACAUGCAAGUCGAGCGAGCGGCGGACGGGUGAGUAAUGUCUGGGAAACUGCCUGAUGGAGGGGGAUAACUACUGGAAACGGUAGCUAAUCCCGCAUACCAUCAGAUGUGCCCAGAUGGGAUUAGUUAGUAGGUGGGGAAAUGUCUCACCUAGGCGACGAUCCCUAGCUGUUCUGAGCGGAUGACCGGCCACACUGGACCUGAGAAACGGUCCAGACUCCUACGGGAGGCAGCAGUGGGGAAUAUUGCACAAUGGGGGCAAGCCUGAUGCAGCCAUUCCGCGUGUAGGAAGAAGGCCUGCGGGUUGUAAAGUACUUUCUGCGGGGAGGCGUUACCCGCAGAAGAAGCACCGGCUAACUCCGUGCCAGCAGCCGCGGUAAUAC